Molecule: ribosomal RNA, 406 nt
Filed under: uncultured bacterium
Lineage: Bacteria
Description: partial 16S ribosomal RNA
Rfam family: Bacterial small subunit ribosomal RNA
Source: RNAcentral
GACGAACGCUGGCGGCGUGCCUAAUACAUGCAAGUCGAACGAGUGGCGGACGGGUGAGUAACACGUGGGAACCUACCCAUCAGAGGGGGAUAACACUUGGAAACGGUAGCUAAUACCGCAAACCAUCAGAUGUGCCCAGAUGGGAUUAGCUUGUUGGUGGGGUAACGGCUCAACAAGGCGACGAACCCUAGCUGGGCUGAGAGGAUGACCAGCCACAAUGGAACUGAGACACGGUCCAGACUCCUACGGGAGGCAGCAGUGGGGAAUAGUGCACAAUGGGCGCAAGCCUGAUACAGCCAUGCCGCGUGUAUGAAGAAGGCCUUCGGGUUGUAAAGUACUUUCAGCGGGGAGGCGUUACCCGCAGAAGAAGCACCGGCUAACUACGUGCCAGCCGCCGCGGUAAUAC